This 469-nucleotide ribosomal RNA is filed under the name uncultured bacterium. RNAcentral describes it as "partial 16S ribosomal RNA". It matches the Rfam family "Bacterial small subunit ribosomal RNA", at positions 355 to 816 of the family's 1533-position model. The record is from RNAcentral.
UAGGGAAUCUUCCACAAUGGACGCAAGUCUGAUGGAGCAACGCCGCGUGAGUGAAGAAGGCUUUCGGGUCGUAAAACUCUGUUAUUGAAGAAGAACGUGUGUGACAGUAACUGGUCAUGCAGUGACGGUAUUCAAUCAGAAAGUCACGGCUAACUACGUGCCAGCAGCCGCGGUAAUACGUAGGUGGCAAGCGUUGUCCGGAUUUAUUGGGCGUAAAGCGAGUGCAGGCGGUCUUUUAAGUCUGAUGUGAAAGCCUUCGGCUUAACCGAAGAAGGGCAUCGGAAACUGGGAGACUUGAGUGCAGAAGAGGAGAGUGGAACUCCAUGUGUAGCGGUGAAAUGCGUAGAUAUAUGGAAGAACACCGGUGGCGAAGGCGGCUCUCUGGUCUGUAACUGACGCUGAGGCUCGAAAGCGUGGGUAGCAAACAGGAUUAGAUACCCUGGUAGUCCACGCCGUAAACGAUGAAUAC